GCGGAAUAGCUCAGUUGGUGAGCGCAACCUUGCCAAGGUUGAGGUCGCGAGUUCGAGCCUCGUUUCCCGCU
Molecule: transfer RNA, 71 nt
Filed under: Serratia marcescens
Lineage: Bacteria; Pseudomonadati; Pseudomonadota; Gammaproteobacteria; Enterobacterales; Yersiniaceae
Description: tRNA-Gly
Rfam family: tRNA
About the family: Transfer RNA (tRNA) molecules are approximately 80 nucleotides in length. Their secondary structure includes four short double-helical elements and three loops (D, anti-codon, and T loops). Further hydrogen bonds mediate the characteristic L-shaped molecular structure. tRNAs have two regions of fundamental functional importance: the anti-codon, which is responsible for specific mRNA codon recognition, and the 3' end, to which the tRNAs corresponding amino acid is attached (by aminoacyl-tRNA synthetases). tRNAs cope with the degeneracy of the genetic code in two manners: having more than one tRNA (with a specific anti-codon) for a particular amino acid; and 'wobble' base-pairing, i.e. permitting non-standard base-pairing at the 3rd anti-codon position.
Source: RNAcentral